Molecule: ribosomal RNA, 274 nt
Filed under: uncultured bacterium
Lineage: Bacteria
Description: partial 16S ribosomal RNA
Rfam family: Bacterial small subunit ribosomal RNA
Source: RNAcentral
AUACGGAGGGUGCAAGCGUUAUCCAGAUUUAUUGGGUUUAAAGGGUGCGCAGGCGGACCUGUCAGUCAGUGGUGAAAUCCCGGGGCUCAACCCCGGAACUGCCAUUGAUACUACAGGUCUGGAAUACGGUUGAAGUAGGCGGAAUGUAGCAUGUAGCGGUGAAAUGCAUAGAUAUGCUACAGAACACCGAUCGCGAAGGCAGCUUACUAAGCCGAUAUUGACGCUCAGGCACGAAAUCGUGGGUAGCGAACAGGAUUAGAAACCCUAGUAGUCC